AAGGAAAUAACAAGGUAAGUACAAGGAAACAACAACAUAGCAGGGUACUUUACCACAUUGAAAAGGUUGUGGGAUGAGCUAGAUUCUCUAAACUCACAUUUAGGAUGCACAUGUGACUGUGUGUGUGAAGGAAAGAAGACGCAAGCCAAAUUUAUGGAAUAUCAAAGGAAUAUCCAAUUCCUUAUGGAACUUAAUGAUACAUAUGGCCAGGUAAGAGGGAACAUACUGAUGAUGAACCCCCUUCCAACCAUGAAUGUUGCUUAUUCUUUACUAUUAUAGGAUGAAGGUAAAAAGGAAUGAUACAUCAACCCAAUGCACCCUACUGAUGCUCCAUCUUUCAUGGUAGGUACACAAACAAGAAGUCCACAGAAGUACAACAAUCAAACUUAAAAGACUUGGAAUGCAUCACAAAAAUCUGGAAACACUCAACAAAGUUCAAAGCUAGGAAAACCAAAUAUAAUCCAAAUAUGAGCUGCAACCAUUGUAUGAGAACAGGACAUCUCAGGGCAAACUGCUACAAAUUAAUAGGGUUCCCAGAUGACUUCCAGUUCACCAAAUCAAAUGUGUAUCAGGGAGAAGCUAAGGCUAAUGCAGUAGUUGGAGCUAAGAAAGAUGAUUGUACCAAUAAUCCUUCUAGUGAAAGAUCAAUGGGCACUUACAGUCAGCACUUCAGCAAAGAACAACUCUUAGAGCUAGUUAACCUAAUCAAACAGGUGCACAUUGGACAUACAUGAAAUAGAGGGAUAGAGAUUAAUGCAAAUGUUGUGGCUGGUCCCUUUAACGAGGAGAGGACAAGUUUUUGGUGAGAUAAGAGAUGGACUAUACCUGCUGCAACCAACCAAUUUAGAUUCUAGUAGUUUCUUAGGUCAAAAUGUAGUUUCUAUUCCAAAAGAAUGUGAUUCCAGUUGUGUUCUAAUAUUGUUUCUUUUCAAAAUUCUAUGUCAGUUAAUUUAGUUUCUACUGUACUUUAAUGGCAUAUCAGGUUGAGACAUUUGCCAUUUUCAAUAAUGAGAAAUCUUAGUUUCAUUCAAUUUC
Molecule: non-coding RNA, 1035 nt
Organism: Nicotiana tabacum (common tobacco)
Lineage: Eukaryota; Viridiplantae; Streptophyta; Magnoliopsida; Solanales; Solanaceae
Source: RefSeq, a predicted model, not a curated record